UAAUUGAAGAGUUUGAUCAUGGCUCAGAUUGAACGCUGGCGGCAGGCCUAACACAUGCAAGUCGAGCGGUAACAGGGGAAGCUUGCUUCUCGCUGACGAGCGGCGGACGGGUGAGUAAUGUAUGGGGAUCUGCCCGAUAGAGGGGGAUAACUACUGGAAACGGUAGCUAAUACCGCAUAAUCUCUCAGGAGCAAAGCAGGGGAACUUCGGUCCUUGCGCUAUCGGAUGAACCCAUAUGGGAUUAGCUAGUUGGUGAGGUAAUGGCUCACCAAGGCGACGAUCCCUAGCUGGUCUGAGAGGAUGAUCAGCCACACUGGGACUGAGACACGGCCCAGACUCCUACGGGAGGCAGCAGUGGGGAAUAUUGCACAAUGGGCGCAAGCCUGAUGCAGCCAUGCCGCGUGUAUGAAGAAGGCCCUAGGGUUGUAAAGUACUUUCAGUCGGGAGGAAGGCGUUGAUGCUAAUAUCAUCA
RNAcentral lists this ribosomal RNA (472 nucleotides) under Providencia rettgeri. Its description in RNAcentral is "bacterial SSU rRNA". It matches the Rfam family "Bacterial small subunit ribosomal RNA", at positions 1 to 471 of the family's 1533-position model. Lineage: Bacteria; Pseudomonadati; Pseudomonadota; Gammaproteobacteria; Enterobacterales; Morganellaceae. The record is from RNAcentral.